UACGUAGGCGGAAAAUUAAGUCAGUAGUGAAAUCCUGCAGCUUAACUGUAGAACUGUUAUUGAUACUGUUUUUCUUGAAUAUAGUUGAGGUAGGCGGAAUGUGUAAUGUAGCGGUGAAAUGCUUAGAUAUUACACAGAACACCGAUUGCGAAGGCAGCUUACUAAGCUAUGAUUGACGCUGAGGUACGAAAGCGUGGGGAGCGAACAGGAUUAGAUACCCUGGUAGUCC
This 229-nucleotide ribosomal RNA is filed under the name uncultured bacterium. RNAcentral describes it as "partial 16S ribosomal RNA". It matches the Rfam family "Bacterial small subunit ribosomal RNA", at positions 568 to 796 of the family's 1533-position model. The record is from RNAcentral.